AACGCACAUUGCGCCUCUCUUUACGGGGAGGCAUGCCUGUCUGAGCGUCAUUUAACCCAAUGGACCCAUAAUGGGUGUCCGUGUUGGGCCUCGCCCCUGGUUUGCGGGCGUCGCCUCGAAGGAAUCGGUCGAGGGCAGACGGAUGAGAUCCAUUAGGACCGACCGUCUGACCCGACCCACAAAGCUAUGAAACUGACCUCAGAUCAGGCAGGGACACCGCCUGAACUUAA
RNAcentral lists this unclassified non-coding RNA (230 nucleotides) under uncultured fungus. RNAcentral's name for it is "partial contains 5.8S ribosomal RNA, internal transcribed spacer 2, and large subunit ribosomal RNA". The record is from RNAcentral. Lineage: Eukaryota; Fungi.